Molecule: long non-coding RNA, 669 nt
Organism: Carassius gibelio (silver crucian carp)
Lineage: Eukaryota; Metazoa; Chordata; Actinopteri; Cypriniformes; Cyprinidae
Exons: 3
Source: RefSeq, a predicted model, not a curated record
UAGCCAUUAUAGCCAGACACAGAUAGGCCUCGAUAGACCGUACAGAAAUAGCCAGGAUAGGCCAGACACAGAUAGCCACAAUAGGCAGACAUGGGACAGGCCUUGAUAGACCAUACAGAAAAUAGCCAUGAUAGCCGGACACGGACAGGUCUCGAUAGACCGUACAGAAAUAGCCACGAUAGGCCAGACACAGAUAGCCACAAUAUGCAGACAUGGGACAGGCCUUGAUAGACCGUACAGAAAAAUAGCCAUGAUAGCCGGACACGGACAGGUCUCGAUAGACCGUACAGAAAUAGUCACGAUAGGCAGACACAGACAGGCCUUGAAAGACCAUACAGAUAUAGUAACACCACCACCAGUAAUUGCAUGAAUUUACCUGAUUAGUUACAGGAGAGCUUGCUGAGCUUCAAUAAUGGUUUUGAAUCAGGUCUGAUGUAUGAUUCAAAUGCUUAGGAAGACCAUCUGCCCAUGAUCUUAACAGCUGAUGUAGAGAUCCCUCAUUCAGCUGCUGAAGUAGCUGCCCCAAUUCUGAAUGAAUGGCCAGUAGAUAGACUGCAGCUUUGAGAACAGUGGUUAAGUGAGUUCUAAACAGCCUUGGAAAGGGGGCUCCGUUAGGAAAAAUAGAGCUGGUGCGUUUUAGAAAUUCUAGGUCGGAUUUUUAAGAAAUUU